CCCACUCUAGCUGCCAACAUUCCGUGCAAUACACACUAAUGUUAAAACCUGAACAGGUUAGAAAAUCUUUGGACUUUUUGAACUGUCACUGUGAGAAAAGUAUGAAUGCCAUGAAGAUGGUGAAUGAAUGAGUGAAUGUCUGAAGAUGUGUGAAUAUUUUAAAGUUUGAAUGAAGUUUCUAGGUGAAAGUAUGAAUGAAUGAGAAGAGGUUGAAGUUGACUACGUCUGAAGCCCUUUUCCCAUUGACUGCCAUUAUAACGAAGUUUUAAACAAAUCUUAAUAUUUUGAAAAGUACAAAUGGGAUUAAAAAUGUUGAAGAUGUGGAAUAAUGCUGACGAAUUUGUGAAUAUUUUGGUUUUUGAAUGAAGUUUCUACGUGGAAGUAUAGAGGAGCUGAAGGCUUUUGAAGUUUGAAGCCAAUUUGAACAUUCCGUAAUGCAUUUCUAAUGGGAGAAAUCGGUCGGAAAACCUGGAAUAUCUCGGAAAGUAUGAAUGUUAGGAAAUUUUUGAAUACAAGCCGGAAUCUCCUCAACGAGAUGAAUCUUUUGAAGUUUGAAUGGUUUGAAUACGUUGAAGUAUGUGGAAGUAGUUGACUGCCAAAAAACGGCGGAAUAAUAAUAACUAGAAAAUGCAAUUUCUGAAGAAAUUGCGAGUGGGAUUGCUUCAGUUGAAAUUGCUAUCGCUACGCUGCUAUUGCGAAUGGCUGAAUUUUAAAAAUAUGUGAAAGGUCAAAAGGUAUGAAGUAUCAGGAAGAUUUGAAUCAAUUGGAAUAAACUCAAUUGAAUGAAUUGAAUAAUGCAUGAAUAAUAAUUUUGAAAUUUCCACGUUUGAAAAUUAAAAUGAUUAAAAACCCUGAAGUUUGGGAAAGGCUUGAAGAAUCAAUAAGGUUUGAAUCAGUUUAAAUGAGUUGUAAUUUGUUUGAAAGAACUGAAUAAUGCAGUAAGAGUAAAAAAUGAUUUAAAACUGGAAAAUUAAAAGGUUACAAAUCUGGAAGAAAAAGAGGUUUGAAGAAUCAAAAUGGUUUACAUCAGUUUGAAGGAAAUAAAUUAGUUUGAAGAACUAAAUAAUGCAUUUUCAAUGAAUGAUUGAAAAAUGGGGACAAUGUAAAUGAAUAAAAAUCCUGAUUAGACCCCAUAAUGUCCUCAAUGAGCUGAAUUUAUUAAGCCCUGGUUGGUUUCUGUAGCUCAAGGUUUGUGCGAAGAGAUAGAUGACAAAUUUUGUCAAAUAACUCUAUUGAAGGGUUUUAAAUGUAACCCCCAGUACUCUGUGUACUGAGCCUGGCUUCAUGUGUCUCAUAUGGCUGUUAGAAGCAGCUUUCCAGCCAGCUGUGUGUCUCCAGGUGCUCUUAUUGGUUGCCAUGGUGACGAUAGAUGCUUAACAACAGCAGGAGAAAGGAGGCUUGAGGCUGAGAGCGUAAUGCCCAAACAACGUCAUAUUUCUCAUCCUCUGUAACUGCUAUCUUCAUGAUCAGGAGCUUGUGAGAACCACAAGGCCCGGCUGAACACGUUGAUACAACUUCUGUGUUUGUGGAGCCAAAAAUGCCUUCACUACAACAAGUUAAAAACAUGUCCAGUUCAUGUUUCCUCUGAAAAUCCUCCUCUCAGGUUUACAUUGGAGUCAAUGGAGAAAGCUGGAGAAAUCUGGGGGAUGUCUGCGGCAGUUGGUGUCUGCCCAGGCCACUGUGUGUGUCCUAUGGCUUUGAUUUUUUAGAUGAAGAGUGACAGCGAGUUUUGCCAUCACUGUACCAAAUUUUAUCUGUGUAGAGUGAAGUGAGUUGCCACAAUCCUUUUGUAAAGACAAAGUUUUGAGGAUCAAUUUUCAGCCUGUCUCACUCUAGCUGUGAGGUCACCCACUCUAGCGGCCAACAUUCCGUGCAAUACACACUAAUGUUAAAACCUGAACAGGCCAGAAAAUCAUGUGAAUUUUUGAACUGUCACUGUGAGAAAAGUAUGAAUGCCAUGAAGAUGGUGAAUGAAUGAGUGAAUGUCUGAAGAUGUGUGAAUAUUUUAAAGUUUGAAUGAAGUUUCUAGGUGAAAGCAUGAAUGAAUGAGAAGAGGUUGAAGUUGACUACGUCUGAAAGCCUUUUCCCAUUGAAUCCCAUUAUAACGAAGUUUUAAACAGAUCUUAAUAUUUUGAAAAGUACAAAUGGGAUUAAAAAGGUUGAAGAUGUGGAAUAAUGC
This 2179-nucleotide long non-coding RNA is filed under the name Xyrichtys novacula (pearly razorfish). The record is from RNAcentral. Lineage: Eukaryota; Metazoa; Chordata; Actinopteri; Labriformes; Labridae.